UAGGGAAUCUUCCGCAAUGGGCGAAAGCCUGACGGAGCAACGCCGCGUGAGUGAUGAAGGUCUUCGGAUCGUAAAACUCUGUUAUUAGGGAAGAACAAAUGUGUAAGUAACUAUGCACGUCUUGACGGUACCUAAUCAGAAAGCCACGGCUAACUACGUGCCAGCAGCCGCGGUAAUACGUAGGUGGCAAGCGUUAUCCGGAAUUAUUGGGCGUAAAGCGCGCGUAGGCGGUUUUUUAAGUCUGAUGUGAAAGCCCACGGCUCAACCGUGUAGGGUCAUUGGAAACUGGAAAACUUGAGUGCAGAAGAGGAAAGUGGAAGUCCAUGUGUAGCGGUGAAAUGCGCAGAGAUAUGGAGGAACACCAGGGGCGAAGGCGACUUUCUGGUCUGAAACUGACGCUGAUGUGCGAAAGCGUGGGGAUCAAACAGG
Molecule: ribosomal RNA, 429 nt
Filed under: Actinomycetes bacterium
Lineage: Bacteria; Bacillati; Actinomycetota; Actinomycetes
Description: Actinobacteria bacterium partial 16S ribosomal RNA
Rfam family: Bacterial small subunit ribosomal RNA
Source: RNAcentral